CGAAGGCUCCAAAGGAAGUCACGGCUAACUCUGUGCCAGCAGCCGCGGUAAUACAGAGGUGGCAAGCGUUGUUCGGAAUUAUUGGGCGUAAAGAGCACGUAGGUGGGUUUGUAAGUCAGAUGUGGAAGCCUCCUGUUCAACGGGAGAAUUGCAUCUGAAACUACUGAUCUUGAGUAUAGGAGGGGAGAAUGGAACUUCUGGUGGAGCGGUGAAAUGCGUAGAUAUCAGAAGGAACGCCGGCGGCGAAAGCGAUUCUCUGGCCUAUUACUGACACUCAGUGUGCGAAAGCUAGGGGAGCAAACGGGAUUAGAUACCCCGGUAGUCCUAGCCGUAAA
RNAcentral lists this ribosomal RNA (335 nucleotides) under uncultured Planctomycetales bacterium. RNAcentral describes it as "bacterial SSU rRNA". It matches the Rfam family "Bacterial small subunit ribosomal RNA", at positions 473 to 806 of the family's 1533-position model. The record is from RNAcentral. Lineage: Bacteria; Pseudomonadati; Planctomycetota; Planctomycetia; Planctomycetales.